UACGAGGGGUGCAAGCGUUAAUCGGAAUUACUGGGCGUAAAGCGUACGCAGGCGGUUUUUUAAGCCAGAUGUGAAAGCCCCGGGCUCAACCUGGGAAUAGCAUUUGGAACUGGGGAACUAGAGUCUUGUAGAGGGGGGUAGAAUUUCAGGUGUAGCGGUGAAAUGCGUAGAGAUCUGAAGGAAUACCGGUGGCGAAGGCGGCCCCCUGGACAAAGACUGACGCUCAUGUACGAAAGCGUGGGGAGCAAAC
This 250-nucleotide ribosomal RNA is filed under the name uncultured bacterium. Its description in RNAcentral is "partial 16S ribosomal RNA". It matches the Rfam family "Bacterial small subunit ribosomal RNA", at positions 524 to 773 of the family's 1533-position model. The record is from RNAcentral.